CCUACGGGAGGCAGCAGUGAGGAAUAUUGGUCAAUGGGCGGAAGCCUGAACCAGCCAAGUCGCGUGAGGGAAUAAGGCCCUACGGGUUGUAAACUUCUUUUAUAAAGGAAUAAAGUGAGGCACGUGUGCCUUUUUGUAUGUACUUUAUGAAUAAGGAUCGGCUAACUCCGUGCCAGCAGCCGCGGUAAUACGGAGGAUCCGAGCGUUAUCCGGAUUUAUUGGGUUUAAAGGGAGCGUAGAUGGGUUGUUAAGUCAGUUGUGAAAGUUUGCGGCUCAACCGUAAAAUUGCAAUUGAUACUGGCAGU
This 305-nucleotide ribosomal RNA is filed under the name uncultured bacterium. RNAcentral describes it as "bacterial SSU rRNA". It matches the Rfam family "Bacterial small subunit ribosomal RNA", at positions 338 to 640 of the family's 1533-position model. The record is from RNAcentral.